CGGGGCGUAGCUCAGCCUGGUAGAGCGCGCGCUUUGGGGGCGCGAAGUCGCCGGUUCGAAUCCGGCCGCCCCGA
This 74-nucleotide transfer RNA is filed under the name Thermoleophilum album. It matches the Rfam family "tRNA". Rfam says of the family: Transfer RNA (tRNA) molecules are approximately 80 nucleotides in length. Their secondary structure includes four short double-helical elements and three loops (D, anti-codon, and T loops). Further hydrogen bonds mediate the characteristic L-shaped molecular structure. tRNAs have two regions of fundamental functional importance: the anti-codon, which is responsible for specific mRNA codon recognition, and the 3' end, to which the tRNAs corresponding amino acid is attached (by aminoacyl-tRNA synthetases). tRNAs cope with the degeneracy of the genetic code in two manners: having more than one tRNA (with a specific anti-codon) for a particular amino acid; and 'wobble' base-pairing, i.e. permitting non-standard base-pairing at the 3rd anti-codon position. The record is from Rfam by way of RNAcentral. RNAcentral also lists the same sequence under 4 other names. Lineage: Bacteria; Bacillati; Actinomycetota; Thermoleophilia; Thermoleophilales; Thermoleophilaceae.